GCCUAAUUGUGAUUUGUUUGUUGUUUGACGCUCUUCGGCCGAUGGCAUUUGAUGUGUUGGAUAUUACAAAACAGCAGCCGAACAGUACACAUCUACGCAUUCCAUGGAGUGUUUUUCCAGACUUGUGGUUGGACAAGCAGCAAGAUUUGAAUCUUCAAACAGAAACAUCUGGGCCUGACAUGAAGCUGACUCAACAGUGUCCCAACAGCUGAUGUAAUGCUGGCCUGCUGCAGAAUGUGUUUGCAUUGAAGGGGGCGAUAGACCAAAGGACACACUGAAGGGAAAAAAAAAAGUCUUGACAUAGGAAAGUCCGAGGCGCCACACAGAUCUGAACAGAUCUUCCAAUGAAACUCAAAACAGUCUGACGAGUAGUUAAACCUACAGGAAACAGUAGCUCUUCAGCAUUUAUGUGGCUCAUUAUUGAGCUCUGUUCACCUUAGGACAUUUCACACGUCAUACACAACAACUAACCCUCGCUAACAUGGACACAUGUCUGCACACAUAUCUGAACUUGAGUUUAGGAGUUGUACUGAGAUUAAAUGUAAUAAUCCUAAUGUAGUGACAAAUUAAACACAACCAUCUUUAAUAUAUCAAUGUGUUGAAUAGAUGUAAUUUUGAGGAGACCUAAAGGGAGAAUCCAAAUUCAAUUCAUAUAUUUGAGCUGAGCUAACAAACAUGAUGCAUUAUUUGAGUUGGAAUUAGGAAAGCAUACUGUAGGUUUUUUCUCUUUAUACUCUAUUAAUAGGUAGCAUUGUGGAAUAAGGCCCCCUAAUUAACAUUAAAUGUAUUAACUAAUGUUAGCCAACAAUGCACAAUAAAUUUAUUCAGUAUUUAUUAACUGAGAUUACUGAUAGUAGUUAAUGAAUUCAGUGAUUUAUAACUGUUAAUUAAUGUUAGCUUUGGUUCAUUGAGUUACGUUUAUAAAUAAAUUAUUUAAAUCUAAA
Molecule: long non-coding RNA, 944 nt
Filed under: Danio rerio (zebrafish)
Lineage: Eukaryota; Metazoa; Chordata; Actinopteri; Cypriniformes; Danionidae
Description: lncRNA si:dkey-31n5.2 (ENSDARG00000096994.3)
Source: RNAcentral